GGUUAAGUUAGAAAGGGCGCACGGUGGAUGCCUUGGCACUAGGAGCCGAUGAAGGACGGGACGAACACCGAUAUGCUUCGGGGAGCUGUAAGCAAGCUUUGAUCCGGAGAUUUCCGAAUGGGGAAACCCACCACUCGUAAUGGAGUGGUAUCCAUAUCUGAAUACAUAGGAUAUGAGAAGGCAGACCCGGGGAACUGAAACAUCUAAGUACCCGGAGGAAGAGAAAGCAAAUGCGAUUCCCUGAGUAGCGGCGAGCGAAACGGGACCAGCCCAAACCAAGAGGCUUGCCUCUUGGGGUUGUAGGACACUCUGUACGGAGUUACAAAGGAACGAGGUAGAUGAAGAGGUCUGGAAAGGCCCGCCAUAGAAGGUAACAGCCCUGUAGUCAAAACUUCGUUCUCUCCUGAGUGGAUCCUGAGUACGGCGGAACACGUGAAAUUCCGUCGGAAUCCGGGAGGACCAUCUCCCAAGGCUAAAUACUCCCUAGUGACCGAUAGUGAACCAGUACCGUGAGGGAAAGGUGAAAAGCACCCCGGAAGGGGAGUGAAAGAGAUCCUGAAACCGUGUGCCUACAAGUAGUCAGAGCCCGUUAACGGGUGAUGGCGUGCCUUUUGUAGAAUGAACCGGCGAGUUACGAUCCCGUGCAAGGUUAAGCAGAAGAUGCGGAGCCGCAGCGAAAGCGAGUCUGAAUAGGGCGAAUGAGUACGUGGUCGUAGACCCGAAACCAGGUGAUCUACCCAUGUCCAGGGUGAAGUUCAGGUAACACUGAAUGGAGGCCCGAACCCACGCACGUUGAAAAGUGCGGGGAUGAGGUGUGGGUAGGGGUGAAAUGCCAAUCGAACCUGGAGAUAGCUGGUUCUCUCCGAAAUAGCUUUAGGGCUAGCCUCAAGGUAAGAGUCUCGGAGGUAGAGCACUGAUUGGACUAGGGGCCCCUACCGGGUUACCGAAUUCAGUCAAACUCCGAAUGCCGAUGACUUAUCCUUGGGAGUCAGACUGCGAGUGAUAAGAUCCGUAGUCGAAAGGGAAACAGCCCAGACCGCCAGCUAAGGUCCCAAAGUAUACGUUAAGUGGAAAAGGAUGUGGAGUUGCUUAGACAACCAGGAUGUUGGCUUAGAAGCAGCCACCAUUUAAAGAGUGCGUAAUAGCUCACUGGUCGAGUGACUCUGCGCCGAAAAUGUACCGGGGCUAAACGUAUCACCGAAGCUGCGGACUGUUCUUCGAACAGUGGUAGGAGAGCGUUCUAAGGGCUGUGAAGCAAGACCGGAAGGACUUGUGGAGCGCUUAGAAGUGAGAAUGCCGGUAUGAGUAGCGAAAGAGGGGUGAGAAUCCCCUCCACCGAAUGCCUAAGGUUUCCUGAGGAAGGCUCGUCCGCUCAGGGUUAGUCGGGACCUAAGCCGAGGCCGAAAGGCGUAGGCGAUGGAUAACAGGUUGAUAUUCCUGUACCACCUCCUCACCAUUUGAGCAAUGGGGGGACGCAGGAGGAUAGGGUAAGCGCGGUAUUGGAUAUCCGCGUCCAAGCAGUUAGGCUGGGAAAUAGGCAAAUCCGUUUCCCGUGAAGGCUGAGCUGUGAUGGCGAGCGAAUUAUAGUAGCGAAGUUCCUGAUUCCACACUGCCAAGAAAAGCCUCUAGCGAGGUGAGAGGUGCCCGUACCGCAAACCGACACAGGUAGGCGAGGAGAGAAUCCUAAGGUGAUCGAGAGAACUCUCGUUAAGGAACUCGGCAAAAUGACCCCGUAACUUCGGGAGAAGGGGUGCUCUGUUAGGGUGCAAGCCCGAGAGAGCCGCAGUGAAUAGGCCCAGGCGACUGUUUAGCAAAAACACAGGUCUCUGCGAAGCCGUAAGGCGAAGUAUAGGGGCUGACGCCUGCCCGGUGCUGGAAGGUUAAGAGGAGCGCUUAGCGUAAGCGAAGGUGCGAAUUGAAGCCCCAGUAAACGGCGGCCGUAACUAUAACGGUCCUAAGGUAGCGAAAUUCCUUGUCGGGUAAGUUCCGACCCGCACGAAAGGCGCAACGAUCUGGGCACUGUCUCAACGAGAGACUCGGUGAAAUUAUAGUACCUGUGAAGAUGCAGGUUACCCGCGACAGGACGGAAAGACCCCGUGGAGCUUUACUGCAGCCUGAUAUUGAAUGUUGGUACAGCUUGUACAGGAUAGGUAGGAGCCUUGGAAACCGGAGCGCCAGCUUCGGUGGAGGCAUCGGUGGGAUACUACCCUGGCUGUAUUGACCUUCUAACCCGCCGCCCUUAUCGGGCGGGGAGACAGUGUCAGGUGGGCAGUUUGACUGGGGCGGUCGCCUCCUAAAAGGUAACGGAGGCGCCCAAAGGUUCCCUCAGAAUGGUUGGAAAUCAUUCGCAGAGUGUAAAGGCACAAGGGAGCUUGACUGCGAGACCUACAAGUCGAGCAGGGACGAAAGUCGGGCUUAGUGAUCCGGUGGUUCCGCAUGGAAGGGCCAUCGCUCAACGGAUAAAAGCUACCCCGGGGAUAACAGGCUUAUCUCCCCAAGAGUCCACAUCGACGGGGAGGUUUGGCACCUCGAUGUCGGCUCAUCGCAUCCUGGGGCUGUAGUCGGUCCCAAGGGUUGGGCUGUUCGCCCAUUAAAGCGGUACGCGAGCUGGGUUCAGAACGUCGUGAGACAGUUCGGUCCCUAUCCGUCGCGGGCGCAGGAAAUUUGAGAGGAGCUGUCCUUAGUACGAGAGGACCGGGAUGGACGCACCGCUGGUGUACCAGUUGUUCUGCCAAGGGCAUCGCUGGGUAGCUAUGUGCGGACGGGAUAAGUGCUGAAAGCAUCUAAGCAUGAAGCCCCCCUCAAGAUGAGAUUUCCCAUUCCGCAAGGAAGUAAGAUCCCUGAAAGAUGAUCAGGUUGAUAGGUCUGAGGUGGAAGUGUGGCGACACAUGGAGCUGACAGAUACUAAUCGAUCGAGGACUUAACCAA
Molecule: ribosomal RNA, 2928 nt
Filed under: Bacillus velezensis
Lineage: Bacteria; Bacillati; Bacillota; Bacilli; Caryophanales; Bacillaceae
Description: 23S ribosomal RNA
Rfam family: Bacterial large subunit ribosomal RNA
Source: RNAcentral